This 72-nucleotide transfer RNA is filed under the name Ovis aries (sheep). It matches the Rfam family "tRNA". From Rfam's summary of the family: Transfer RNA (tRNA) molecules are approximately 80 nucleotides in length. Their secondary structure includes four short double-helical elements and three loops (D, anti-codon, and T loops). The record is from Rfam by way of RNAcentral. Lineage: Eukaryota; Metazoa; Chordata; Mammalia; Artiodactyla; Bovidae.
UCCCUGGUAGCUCAGACAGUAAAGCGUCUGCCUAUAAUGCAGGAGACCCAGGUUUGAUCCCUGGGUUGGGAA